AUUGAACGCUGGCGGCAUGCCUUACACAUGCAAGUCGAACGGCAGCACGGGUGCUUGCACCUGGUGGCGAGUGGCGAACGGGUGAGUAAUACAUCGGAACAUGUCCUGUAGUGGGGGAUAGCCCGGCGAAAGCCGGAUUAAUACCGCAUACGAUCUACGGAUGAAAGCGGGGGACCUUCGGGCCUCGCGCUAUAGGGUUGGCCGAUGGCUGAUUAGCUAGUUGGUGGGGUAAAGGCCUACCAAGGCGACGAUCAGUAGCUGGUCUGAGAGGACGACCAGCCACACUGGGACUGAGACACGGCCCAGACUCCUACGGGAGGCAGCAGUGGGGAAUUUUGGACAACGGGCGAAAGCCUGAUCCAGCAAUGCCGCGUGUGUGAAGAAGGCCUUCGGGUUGUAAAGCACCUUUGUCCGGAAAGAAAUCCUUGGCCCUAAUACGGUCGGGGGAUGACGGUACCGGAAGAAUAAGCACCGGCUAACUACGUG
Molecule: ribosomal RNA, 486 nt
Filed under: uncultured bacterium
Lineage: Bacteria
Description: partial 16S ribosomal RNA
Rfam family: Bacterial small subunit ribosomal RNA
Source: RNAcentral